Molecule: transfer RNA, 73 nt
Filed under: Streptomyces abikoensis
Lineage: Bacteria; Bacillati; Actinomycetota; Actinomycetes; Kitasatosporales; Streptomycetaceae
Description: tRNA-Val
Source: RNAcentral
CGCUGUACUGGGCGACGGUGCCGUCGCCGUUGACGACGGCGGGCGCGGCCGUGCCGACGCCGUCGACGGCGGC